Molecule: ribosomal RNA, 490 nt
Filed under: uncultured bacterium
Lineage: Bacteria
Description: partial 16S ribosomal RNA
Rfam family: Bacterial small subunit ribosomal RNA
Source: RNAcentral
AUUGAACGCUGGCGGCAGGCCUAACACAUGCAAGUCGAACGGUAACAGGAAACAGCUUGCUGUUUCGCUGACGAGUGGCGGACGGGUGAGUAAUGUCUGGGAAACUGCCUGAUGGAGGGGGAUAACUACUGGAAACGGUAGCUAAUACCGCAUAACGUCGCAAGACCAAAGAGGGGGACCUUCGGGCCUCUUGCCAUCGGAUGUGCCCAGAUGGGAUUAGCUAGUAGGUGGGGUAACGGCUCACCUAGGCGACGAUCCCUAGCUGGUCUGAGAGGAUGACCAGCCACACUGGAACUGAGACACGGUCCAGACUCCUACGGGAGGCAGCAGUGGGGAAUAUUGCACAAUGGGCGCAAGCCUGAUGCAGCCAUGCCGCGUGUAUGAAGAAGGACUUCGGGUUGUAAAGUACUUUCAGCGGGGAUGAAGGGAGUAAAGUUAAUACCUUUGCUCAUUGACGUUACCCGCAGAAGAAGCACCGGCUAACUCCGUG